This is a non-coding RNA of Ciona savignyi (Pacific transparent sea squirt), 82 nucleotides long. The record is from Rfam. NCBI's taxonomy places the organism in Eukaryota, Metazoa, Chordata, Ascidiacea, Phlebobranchia, Cionidae.
GCUGCGAUGGCCGAGUGGUUAAGGCGUUGGACUCGAAAUCCAAUGGGAUGUUCCCGCGCAGGUUCGAUUCCUGUUCGCAGCG